Molecule: ribosomal RNA, 491 nt
Filed under: uncultured bacterium
Lineage: Bacteria
Description: partial 16S ribosomal RNA
Rfam family: Bacterial small subunit ribosomal RNA
Source: RNAcentral
GAUGAACGCUGGCUACAGGCUUAACACAUGCAAGUCGAGGGGAAACGCCGGGGAAGCUUGCUUCCCCGGGCGUCGACCGGCGCACGGGUGAGUAACGCGUAUCCAACCUGCCUCUGACUGAGGGAUAACCCGUCGAAAGUCGGCCUAAUACCUCAUGGCAUCGUCUGCGGGCAUCCAACGACGAUUAAAGAUUUCAUGGGUCAGGGAUGGGGAUGCGUCUGAUUAGCUUGUUGGCGGGGUAACGGCCCACCAAGGCUACGAUCAGUAGGGGUUCUGAGAGGAAGGUCCCCCACAUUGGAACUGAGACACGGUCCAAACUCCUACGGGAGGCAGCAGUGAGGAAUAUUGGUCAAUGGGCGGGAGCCUGAACCAGCCAAGUAGCGUGCAGGAGGACGGCCCUAUGGGUUGUAAACUGCUUUUAGGCGGGGAUAAAGUGAGGGACGUGUCCUUCAUUGCAGGUACCGCAUGAAUAAGGACCGGCUAAUUCCGUG